CUGACAAAGAGUGGCGAACGGGUGAGUAACACGUGGGUAACCUACCUCUUAGCAGGGGAUAACAUUUGGAAACAAGUGCUAAUACCGUAUAAUACCAACAACCGCAUGGUUGUUGGUUGAAAGAUGGUUCUGCUAUCACUAAGAGAUGGACCCGCGGUGCAUUAGCUAGUUGGUAAGGUAACGGCUUACCAAGGCAAUGAUGCAUAGCCGAGUUGAGAGACUGAUCGGCCACAAUGGGACUGAGACACGGCCCAUACUCCUACGGGAGGCAGCAGUAGGGAAUCUUCCACAAUGGGCGCAAGCCUGAUGGAGCAACGCCGCGUGUGUGAUGAAGGGUUUCGGCUCGUAAAACACUGUUAUAAGAGAAGAACGGCACUGAGAGUAACUGUUCAGUGUGUGACGGUAUCUUACCAGAAAGGAACGGCUAAAUACGUGCCAGCAGCCGCGGUAAUACGUAUGUUCCAAGCGUUAUCCGGAUUUAUUGGGCGUAAAGCGAGCGCAGACGGUUAUUUAAGUCUGAAGUGAAAGCCCUCAGCUCAACUGAGGAAUGGCUUUGGAAACUGGAUGACUUGAGUGCAGUAGAGGAAAGUGGAACUCCAUGUGUAGCGGUGAAAUGCGUAGAUAUAUGGAAGAACACCAGUGGCGAAGGCGGCUUUCUGGACUGUAACUGACGUUGAGGCUCGAAAGUGUGGG
This 693-nucleotide ribosomal RNA is filed under the name Weissella paramesenteroides. RNAcentral describes it as "bacterial SSU rRNA". It matches the Rfam family "Bacterial small subunit ribosomal RNA", at positions 85 to 765 of the family's 1533-position model. The record is from RNAcentral. Lineage: Bacteria; Bacillati; Bacillota; Bacilli; Lactobacillales; Lactobacillaceae.